AAUGAACGCUGGCGGUAGGCCUAACACCUGCAAGUCGAACGGAUCCUUCGGGAUUAGUGGCGGACGGGUGUGUAACGCGUGGGAACAUACCCUUUGGUACGGAAUAGCCUCGGGAAACUGGGAGUAAUACCGUAUGUGGUCGAGAGACGAAAGAUUUAUCGCCAAAGGAUUGGCCCGGGGUGGGUUAGGUAGUUGGUGGGGUAAUGGCCUACCAAGCCGACGAUCCCUAGCUGGUUUGAGAAGAUGAUCAGCCACACUGGGACUGAGACACGGACCAGAGUCCGCCGGGAGGCAGCAGUGGGGGAGCUUAGACAAUGGAGGGAUCCCUGAUCUAGCACUGCCGCGUGAUCGAUGAAGGCCUUAGGGUUGUAAAGAUCCUUCAGGUGGGAAGAUAAUGACUGUACCACCAGAAGAAGCCCCGGCUAACUCCGUGCCAGCCGCCGCAGUAA
Molecule: ribosomal RNA, 449 nt
Filed under: uncultured bacterium
Lineage: Bacteria
Description: partial 16S ribosomal RNA
Rfam family: Bacterial small subunit ribosomal RNA
Source: RNAcentral